This 1069-nucleotide ribosomal RNA is filed under the name uncultured Rhizophagus. RNAcentral's name for it is "eukaryotic LSU rRNA". The stretch from base 1 to 190 matches the Rfam family "Eukaryotic small subunit ribosomal RNA", at positions 1644 to 1831 of the family's 1831-position model. Lineage: Eukaryota; Fungi; Glomeromycota; Glomeromycetes; Glomerales; Glomeraceae. The record is from RNAcentral.
AUUACGUCCCUGCCCUUUGUACACACCGCCCGUCGCUACUACCGAUUGAAUGGCUUAGUGAGGCCUUCGGAUUGAGAUUCGGAGUUUGGCAACAGACCCUGGGUUUUAAAAAGUUAUUCAAACUUGGUCAUUUAGAGGAAGUAAAAGUCGUAACAAGGUUUCCGUAGGUGAACCUGCGGAAGGAUCAUUAAAAAAAAAUUUAAUGAAUGGUCGGAGGAAAACUUUUUUGGUACCCCUUUGACUUUAUUCAACCAACCCGCUCUUGUAUUUUGUAUCAAACAAAAAAUUUUUAAAAAUACUAAUAAAAUAGUAAUGUAAAAAAAACUUUCAACAACGGAUCUCUUGGCUCUCGCAUCGAUGAAGAACGCAGCGAAAUGCGAUAAGUAGUGUGAAUUGCAGAACUUUGUGAACCAUCGAAUCUUUGAACGCAAAUUGCGCCUUUCUCGGAAGGCAUGUCUGUUUGAGGGCACCAUUUAACAAAUAAUGUGCGUGUUGCGUAUUGCGCGCGACAAUGCACACGUUGAUGAGCUUUCCAAAGAAAAUGAAAAUUUUUUUGGUGGCGCAUAAUAAACAGCGUGAUGGCUUUUCUUAAUUCGAGUGUAGUAAAAUCUUUUUUUGACGACGCUUGGUUUGUGAGGAGCACAGCGCAAUGGGUGUGGCGGUACCCAGCCCCAACGCCACUCUUUCUCACGAAAGAAGUUUAAUCAUCAGGGCCCUCAAAUCAGACCAGGAGUACCCGCUGACUUUAGCAUAUCAAUAAGCGGAGGAAAGAAACUAACAAGGAUUCCCCUAGUAACGGCGAGUGAGAGGAACAGCUCAAUUUUAAUCUGACUGCUACGCAGUCCGAGUUGUAGUUUGAAGGAGUCUGUCGCCAGUGCGACGAUGGGCACCAAGUCCUCCUGGAACGUGGCAUCGUAGAAGGGUGGAGGAUUCCGUCUCUGGGACGUCGUUGCUUUGCCAUAACGGGCAAGCAUUCGAAGAGUCAGGUUGUUUGGUAUGCAGCUUCAAAUGGGUGGUUAACCUCAUCUAUCCUAAAUUAUGGCCGAGACGGAUGGCGACAGAUACCGUG